This 445-nucleotide ribosomal RNA is filed under the name uncultured marine eukaryote. Its description in RNAcentral is "SSU rRNA". It matches the Rfam family "Eukaryotic small subunit ribosomal RNA", at positions 609 to 1064 of the family's 1831-position model. The record is from RNAcentral.
GUUGUUGCAGUUAAAAAGCUCGUAGUUGGAUUUCUGGCAGAGUGACUCCGGCCAGCAGUUCGCUUGGUUAGGAGCGCCCUACCAUCCUUCGGUUAACCUUUACGGGAUUCGCUUUCUGUGCUGGGGCUCCGAUAUUUUACCUUGAGAAAAUUAGAGUGUUUCAGGCAGGCCAUAGCCGGAAUACAUUAGCAUGGAAUAAUGGAAAAGGACUACUACCUCUUCUGUUGGUCUGGGAGGCAGCAGUAAUGAUUAAUAGGGAUAGUUGGGGGCAUUAGUACUUAACUGUCAGAGGUGAAAUUCUCCGAUUUGUUAAAGACUAACUUAUGCGAAAGCAUUUGCCAAGGAUGUUUUCAUUAAUCAAGAACGAAAGUUAGGGGAUCAAAGACGAUCAGAUACCGUCCUAGUCUCACCCAUAAACUAUGCCGACUCGGGAUCGGGGGCACGC